Molecule: ribosomal RNA, 305 nt
Filed under: uncultured bacterium
Lineage: Bacteria
Description: bacterial SSU rRNA
Rfam family: Bacterial small subunit ribosomal RNA
Source: RNAcentral
CCGUUCCUACGGGAGGCAGCAGUGGGGAAUAUUGCACAAUGGGGGAAACCCUGAUGCAGCGACGCCGCGUGAAGGAAGAAGUAUUUCGGUAUGUAAACUUCUAUCAGCAGGGAAGAAAAUGACGGUACCUGACUAAGAAGCCCUGGCUAACUACGUGCCAGCAGCCGCGGUAAUACGUAUGGUGCAAGCGUUAUCCGGAUUUACUGGGUGUAAAGGGAGCGUAGGCGGCGCGUUAAGUCUGAUGUGAAAGCCCGAGGCUCAACCACGGGAGUGCAUUGGAAACUGGCGGGCUGGAGUGCCGGAGG